Molecule: transfer RNA, 73 nt
Organism: Ovis aries (sheep)
Lineage: Eukaryota; Metazoa; Chordata; Mammalia; Artiodactyla; Bovidae
Rfam family: tRNA
About the family: Transfer RNA (tRNA) molecules are approximately 80 nucleotides in length. Their secondary structure includes four short double-helical elements and three loops (D, anti-codon, and T loops).
Source: Rfam
GACUUGAUAGCUCAGUUGGUAAAGAAUCUGCCUGCAAUGCAGGAGACCCUGGUUGGAUUCCUGGGUCGAGAUA